UAACACGUAUGCAAUCCACCUGUAACAGGGGGAUAACCCGGAGAAAUCCGGACUAAUACCCCAUAAUAUGGGCGCUCCGCAUGGGGGGUCCAUUAAAGAGAGCAAUUUUGGUUACAGACGAGCAUGCGCUCCAUUAGCCAGUUGGCGGGGUAACGGCCCACCAAAGCGACGAUGGAUAGGGGUUCUGAGAGGAAGGUCCCCCACAUUGGAACUGAGACACGGUCCAAACUCCUACGGGAGGCAGCAGUGAGGAAUAUUGGUCAAUGGUCGGCAGACUGAACCAGCCAAGUCGCGUGAGGGAAGACGGCCCUACGGGUUGUAAACCUCUUUUGUCGGAGAGUAAAGUACGCUACGUGUAGUGUAUUGCAAGUAUCCGAAGAAAAAGCAUCGGCUAACUCCGUGCCAGCAGCCGCGGUAAUACGGAGGAUGCAAGCGUUAUCCGGAUUUAUUGGGUUUAAAGGGUGCGUAGGCGGCACGCCAAGUCAGCGGUGAAAUUUCCGGGCUCAACCCGGAGUGUGCCGUUGAAACUGGCGAGCUAGAGUACACAAGAGGCAGGCGGAAUGCGUGGUGUAGCGGUGAAAUGCAUAGAUAUCACGCAGAACCCCGAUUGCGAAGGCAGCCUGCUAGGGUGAAACAGACGCUGAGGCACGAAAGCGUGGGUAUCGAACAGGAUUAGAUACCCUGGUAGUCCACGCAGUAAACGAUGAAUACUAACUGU
Molecule: ribosomal RNA, 718 nt
Filed under: uncultured bacterium
Lineage: Bacteria
Description: bacterial SSU rRNA
Rfam family: Bacterial small subunit ribosomal RNA
Source: RNAcentral